AUUGAACGCUGGCGGCAGGCCUAACACAUGCAAGUCGAGCGGUAGAGAGGUGCUUGCAUCUCUUGAGAGCGGCGGACGGGUGAGUAAUGCCUAGGAAUCUGCCUGGUGGUGGGGGAUAACGUUCGGAAACGGACGCUAAUACCGCAUACGUCCUACGGGAGAAAGCGGGGGAUCUUCGGACCUCGCGCCAUUAGAUGAGCCUAGGUCGGAUUAGCUAGUUGGUGAGGUAAUGGGCUCACCAAGGCGACGAUCCGUAACUGGUCUGAGAGGAUGAUCAGUCACACUGGAACUGAAACACGGUCCAGACUCCUACGGGAGGCAGCAGUGGGGGAAUAUUGGACAAUGGGCGAAAGCCUGAUCCAGCCAUGCCGCGUGUGUGAAGAAGGU
Molecule: ribosomal RNA, 387 nt
Filed under: uncultured bacterium
Lineage: Bacteria
Description: bacterial SSU rRNA
Rfam family: Bacterial small subunit ribosomal RNA
Source: RNAcentral